GAAGCCCUUCGGGGUGGAUUAGUGGCGAACGGGUGAGUAACACGUGGGCAAUCUGCCCUUCACUCUGGGACAAGCCCUGGAAACGGGGUCUAAUACCGGAUAACACUUCCUGCCGCAUGGUGGGGGGUUAAAAGCUCCGGCGGUGAAGGAUGAGCCCGCGGCCUAUCAGCUUGUUGGUGGGGUGAUGGCCUACCAAGGCGACGACGGGUAGCCGGCCUGAGAGGGCGACCGGCCACACUGGGACUGAGACACGGCCCAGACUCCUACGGGAGGCAGCAGUGGGGAAUAUUGCACAAUGGGCGAAAGCCUGAUGCAGCGACGCCGCGUGAGGGAUGACGGCCUUCGGGUUGUAAACCUCUUUCAGCAGGGAAGAAGCGAAAGUGACGGUACCUGCAGAAGAAGCGCCGGCUAAC
RNAcentral lists this ribosomal RNA (413 nucleotides) under Streptomyces mauvecolor. RNAcentral describes it as "bacterial SSU rRNA". It matches the Rfam family "Bacterial small subunit ribosomal RNA", at positions 72 to 501 of the family's 1533-position model. The record is from RNAcentral. Lineage: Bacteria; Bacillati; Actinomycetota; Actinomycetes; Kitasatosporales; Streptomycetaceae.